Molecule: ribosomal RNA, 309 nt
Filed under: Rhizopogon subaustralis
Lineage: Eukaryota; Fungi; Basidiomycota; Agaricomycetes; Boletales; Rhizopogonaceae
Description: LSU rRNA
Rfam family: Bacterial large subunit ribosomal RNA (bases 1-244)
Source: RNAcentral
GUGGUGGCACAAAAUCGGAAGCCCCGACUGUUUACUAAAAACACAGCUAUCUGCAACGAUGUAAAUCUUAGUAUAGGUAGUGAGGUUUGCCCGAUGCCAUUAAUAUAAGAGAAGUGAUGGGUAACUGUUAAUUAUCGAAAAUCUGGUUAAUAGCGGUCUUAACUAUGAGGAUCCUAAGGUAGCAAAAUAAAUUGGCCAUUAAAUGUGGUCCGGUAUCAAUAAUUUAAUGAUCACUAUACUUUCUUAUAAACUUUGCUAAUAAGUUUGAGUUACUAUUGCAGAUGCACGUUAUCAGUCGACCAACAGCAA